This is a small nucleolar RNA of Ornithorhynchus anatinus (platypus), 136 nucleotides long. The record is from RefSeq and is a predicted model, not a curated record. Lineage: Eukaryota; Metazoa; Chordata; Mammalia; Monotremata; Ornithorhynchidae.
AACCCCAGGGUCACACCUGGAGAGUUUCCAGUACUCUACUAAUCUUGGGAAUGGGAGGGAGAGUCAAGCAGAGGCCUACCCAUUCCAUUCCUAGCUUGGACCAUGGCUAGUGAGUGGAAGGCAAUCUGCUAUAAGU